Molecule: ribosomal RNA, 262 nt
Filed under: uncultured prokaryote
Description: partial 16S ribosomal RNA
Rfam family: Bacterial small subunit ribosomal RNA
Source: RNAcentral
GUGCCAGCAGCCGCGGUAAUACGAAGGGUGCUUGCGUUAAUCGGAAUUACUGGGCGUAAAGCGCGCGUGGGUGGAAGGUUAAGUUGGAUGUGAAAGCCCCGGGCUCAACCUGGGAACUGCAUCCAAAAUUGGCGAGCUAGAGUAUGGCAGAGGGUGGUGGAAUUUCCUGUGUAGCGGUGAAAUGCGUAGAUAUAGGAAGGAACACCAGUGGCGAAGGCGACCACCUGGGCUAAUACUGACACUGAGGUGCGAAAGCGUGGGG